This 72-nucleotide transfer RNA is filed under the name Camelus bactrianus (Bactrian camel). It matches the Rfam family "tRNA". Rfam says of the family: Transfer RNA (tRNA) molecules are approximately 80 nucleotides in length. Their secondary structure includes four short double-helical elements and three loops (D, anti-codon, and T loops). Further hydrogen bonds mediate the characteristic L-shaped molecular structure. tRNAs have two regions of fundamental functional importance: the anti-codon, which is responsible for specific mRNA codon recognition, and the 3' end, to which the tRNAs corresponding amino acid is attached (by aminoacyl-tRNA synthetases). tRNAs cope with the degeneracy of the genetic code in two manners: having more than one tRNA (with a specific anti-codon) for a particular amino acid; and 'wobble' base-pairing, i.e. permitting non-standard base-pairing at the 3rd anti-codon position. Lineage: Eukaryota; Metazoa; Chordata; Mammalia; Artiodactyla; Camelidae. The record is from Rfam by way of RNAcentral. RNAcentral also lists the same sequence under 2 other names.
GUGGGUAUAGCUCAGUGGCAGAGCGCAUGCUUAGCAUGCAUGAGGUCCCAGGUUCAAUCCCCACUACCUCCA